AGGUGGCUCUGAGGAGCAGAACAAUGACCCAUGGAAAGAAGCCACUGGGAGGCAGAGUCGGCUCCAAUAAAAAGAGUCAUUCACUCAGCUGGCCAGCAAACACUGGAUGACCACACCUGGGCCAGGCCUUGUGGCAAAUGCUACAGUAAUGACCAGACACAUCACACCCGCCUUCUAGAAGCCCUCCCUCACAAACCGGAUCAACUGCUAUGAUAAAGACAGGCUCAAUGCUUGGAGGGGUGAGAGGAGGCAGCCGUCUUACAACCACAGGUCACAGGAAGACACUAAACAAGGCCGUGUGGAAAGACAGAAGGAGCCUCCAUCCCUCAGCACCACAGAGACAUUGUAUCAGCCUGGAAAUGCCUAAAUCUGAACUUCCUCUUACCUAAGAAAAAUAAAACCUCAAUUUGAUUC
Pongo pygmaeus (Bornean orangutan) is the source of this 414-nucleotide long non-coding RNA. RefSeq lists it as uncharacterized. Lineage: Eukaryota; Metazoa; Chordata; Mammalia; Primates; Hominidae. The transcript is spliced from 3 exons. The record is from RefSeq and is a predicted model, not a curated record.